ACGACGAAUUUCCAUAACAACCAUCAAGAUUAUCAGUGAGAAAAAAAAUCUGAUUAAAUGAUUUAAUCAGAAAUAAACAACAACAAAUGUAAUCCAUAGAAACUAUUUAUGAAGUGAUAUUAAUUUAUCGGGCGGCAGCGGGUAAAAAAAACAUCAAUCAA
Dermatophagoides pteronyssinus (European house dust mite) is the source of this 161-nucleotide long non-coding RNA. The record is from RefSeq and is a predicted model, not a curated record. Lineage: Eukaryota; Metazoa; Arthropoda; Arachnida; Sarcoptiformes; Pyroglyphidae.